CUUUUGCUGGCGACCGGCGCACGGGUGAGUAACACGUAUCCAACCUGCCCUUUACUCGGGGAUAGCCUUUCGAAAGAAAGAUUAAUACCCGAUAGCAUAAUGAUUCCGCAUGGUUUCAUUAUUAAAGGAUUCCGGUAAAGGAUGGGGAUGCGUUCCAUUAGGUUGUUGGUGAGGUAACGGCUCACCAAGCCUUCGAUGGAUAGGGGUUCUGAGAGGAAGGUUCCCCACAUUGGAACUGAGACACGGUCCAA
RNAcentral lists this ribosomal RNA (251 nucleotides) under uncultured bacterium. RNAcentral's name for it is "partial 16S ribosomal RNA". It matches the Rfam family "Bacterial small subunit ribosomal RNA", at positions 78 to 334 of the family's 1533-position model. The record is from RNAcentral.